UGACUAGUGGACAGAUUUAGCACUCGUAA
This 29-nucleotide small RNA is filed under the name Bombyx mori (domestic silkworm). RNAcentral describes it as "ovarian small RNA-31888". The record is from RNAcentral. Lineage: Eukaryota; Metazoa; Arthropoda; Insecta; Lepidoptera; Bombycidae.